AGCGAACGCUGGCGGCGUGCCUAACACAUGCAAGUCGAACGUGAAAAGGGAAACCUGAGUAAAGUGGCGUACGGGUGAGUAACGCGUAGGUAAUCUACCCCAGAAUCUGGAAUAACCUGCCGAAAGGCGGGCUAAUACUGGAUAGAGCGAGGGAACUCGUAAGAGAGUUUUUCGGGAAAGGGAGCCCGCAAGGGCCUUCGUUCUGGGAUGAGCCUGCGUCUCAUUAGCUAGUUGGUAAGGUAACGGCUUACCAAGGCGAUGAUGAGUAGCUGGUCUGAGAGGAUGAUCAGCUACACUGGAACUGAAACACGGUCCAGACUCCUACGGGAGGCAGCAGUGGGGAAUCUUGCGCAAUGGACGAAAGUCUGACGCAGCCACGCCGCGUGAGUGAAGAAGGCCUUCGGGUUGUAAAGCUCUGUCGGAUGGGACGAACAUCUUCAUAGUGAAUAGCUAUGAGGACUGACGGUACCAUCAAAGGAAGCACCGGCUAACUCCGUG
RNAcentral lists this ribosomal RNA (498 nucleotides) under uncultured bacterium. RNAcentral's name for it is "partial 16S ribosomal RNA". It matches the Rfam family "Bacterial small subunit ribosomal RNA", at positions 29 to 507 of the family's 1533-position model. The record is from RNAcentral.